This 556-nucleotide ribosomal RNA is filed under the name uncultured fungus. RNAcentral's name for it is "eukaryotic LSU rRNA". The stretch from base 199 to 352 matches the Rfam family "5.8S ribosomal RNA". The record is from RNAcentral. Lineage: Eukaryota; Fungi.
AAGUCGUAACAAGGUCUCCGUAGGUGAACCUGCGGAGGGAUCAUUACCAGAGAUGGCGGGCCCUCGCGCCCCCGUCCCCAACCCUUUGUUGACCAAAAACCUUUUUGCCUCGGGGGCAGAGUGGCCGUCAGGCCGCCGCCCCCGGAGGACCACCAAACUCUGUCUCUGUACGUCGGAGUCUUUUGAUAAAUGAAUCAAAACUUUCAACAACGGAUCUCUUGGUUCUGGCAUCGAUGAAGAACGCAGCGAAAUGCGAUAAGUAAUGUGAAUUGCAGAAUUCAGUGAAUCAUCGAAUCUUUGAACGCACAUUGCGCCCUUUGGCAUUCCGAGGGGCAUGCCCGUUCGAGCGUCAUUAAAUCCACUCAAGCCUGGCUUGGUAUUGGGCGCCGGGGACCUCCUCGCGCCUCGAUUUCGCCGGCUGGCCGUCGUUUGACUUAGCGUUGUGACACAUGUCGCUAACGACGAAGGCGGACCAUGCCGUUAAACCCCCUUGGGCGUCGACAGAUGCUCAGUAAAGGUUGACCUCGGAUCGGGUAGGAAUACCCGCUGAACUUAA